CGUACAGUGUAGACGAAGAGUAGUAACUGAAACGGGUACUAAAAGAGAGCUGAUGGUUGGUGAAAAUCAGUGUAACUGUUGCUGCGAAUGGACUUCCGAGCUUCCAAACCGAACCCAAUUGGCAGUAGGCUUUGGCGAACUGGCCUUAUCGUUACAAAAGGCACGCAUUAAAGCAUAAAUCUUGCUUGAUGCUGCUAAGUGAGCUGUUAAUCAGCUAAUUAAGGUGGUACCACGGGUCCUCUCGUCCUUAUU
This 252-nucleotide non-coding RNA is filed under the name Mesobacillus subterraneus. Its description in RNAcentral is "Bacillus subterraneus T-box sequence". It matches the Rfam family "T-box leader". Rfam says of the family: Uncharged tRNA acts as the effector for transcription antitermination of genes in the T-box leader family. T-boxes are found upstream of many aminoacyl-tRNA synthetase genes and some amino acid biosynthetic genes usually in Gram-positive bacteria. Lineage: Bacteria; Bacillati; Bacillota; Bacilli; Caryophanales; Bacillaceae. The record is from RNAcentral.